AAUACUGAGCCUUCAUUCAAACUAAAAGGCUGGAAGGGAGGCAGCUGCCUUUGUUUGCCAUGGAUGGGUAGGGGCUGCACUGAGCAGCACCGGUGUUCUUCAUCCGGCUGCACCCCCAACAGAGCUCUUUCUUCCCCAGAUCCCUUUUACAGUUGGAUUCUCCCUCUUGGAUCUGGCUCUGCCUUAGUCCGACCUAGAGGGAUCAGCUUCGCCCACGCCCACUCUCACCCGGAACCUUUCAUCUCUUAUUGAAGCCUUUUAGGCCCAUUGGGAUGUUCAUUAGAACUCUGAAAACUACAGUUCUCCCCUUUAUGAGGACUGCACCACAGCUCGCCCUCUCCUGGGUUCCGGUAAGAAGAGAUUCCAAUACCACUCUUUUUUCAGAAUUCAGAAAGGCAAGAGACCACCUUACUGAGCUUCAAACUGGGGCUGGGAACGCUGCCAUGAAUUGGGCUUGGUCUGUCUGAAGGGAGCCACCUUUUCGACAAUCCUUAGACUUCUUUUGCCUGUUGGAAUUACACCUUGGAUCGUGGCGAAGUCUAUAGAGGUCAGAUUAAGAAGAACCAAAGCAGAAUAAACGUAGAACCCGAUGCUGAGUUCACGAGUGAGGACGACCUCUUCCUAUAUGCUUUGCUAUACCCUGCGUUUUGAACAUUAAGGACGAGAUAGGAGGCCCAUAAUGUUUCUUCUUGCUUUAAUCCUGUCGUGGCAACGUUGACUUCCAGUAAGAAAGCCUGGUUGCAGAGUGAGCCCAUGGGACAGCCCUCUGAAAUUAUACUGCUUACAACCAUGCUGAGUCUGCAAGGACUUCGUCCAAGCCUUUCCGUCCAGGACCUCAAACAGAUCCAAUCACAAGAAGAGAGAUUUCAGGAAAGAGAAAAUUAUUCCUAUCAUCGGGGUUUUUGAAGAACAUGAAAUGACUGGGAAAAUAAUCAUGUUAAGUGGAAAAAAAAAAGAAAUCUAUCUGUUGUAAUUUUCAAAUAAUUUUUAAAUAAAUUUGAAAAAUUAAGAGAACUAUAUAUAUAAUACAUUCCUAAUCUUGUGAAAAAUAUAUAUGCAUUAAUAUUAUUGAAAGAAAUAUAUCAAAAGGUGAACAGCAAUUAUCACCAAUCUAGAUUAUGAGAUUAGGAGUGAUUUUUUUUCUUUGUCCUAUACUAUUUAAUAUUUUCUACCAUUAAAAUAUUCUGAUUUUCUAAUUAGAAUAGUACGUUAGACAAAGAAGGACAAAUAUCACAUGAACUCUCACUCUCUUAUGGAACAGAUCUUGUGGAAUCUAAAAAAGUUGAACUCAUAGAAAAAGAGGAAAAUGAUGGUUACCAGUUAGAAAAAAGGAAUAAGUUCAAGAGAUCUAUUGUACACCAUGGUCAAUAUAGUUAACAAUAUAUUUUAUACUUUAAAAUUGCUAAGGUAGUAGAU
Molecule: long non-coding RNA, 1416 nt
Filed under: Homo sapiens (human)
Lineage: Eukaryota; Metazoa; Chordata; Mammalia; Primates; Hominidae
Description: non-protein coding lnc-PCNX1-2:10
Source: RNAcentral